This 423-nucleotide ribosomal RNA is filed under the name uncultured bacterium. RNAcentral describes it as "bacterial SSU rRNA". It matches the Rfam family "Bacterial small subunit ribosomal RNA", at positions 1 to 401 of the family's 1533-position model. The record is from RNAcentral.
AUCAGCCGGUACUCGCCGAAUGCUCUAGAUUAAAGUUUGAUCAUGGCUCAGAUCGAACGCUGGCGGCAGGCCUAACACAUGCAAGUCGAGCGGAUGACGGGAGCUUGCUCCUUGAUUCAGCGGCGGACGGGUGAGUAAUGCCUAGGAAUCUGCCUGGUAGUGGGGGACAACGUUUCGAAAGGAACGCUAAUACCGCAUACGUCCUACGGGAGAAAGCAGGGGACCUUCGGGCCUUGCGCUAUCAGAUGAGCCUAGGUCGGAUUAGCUAGUUGGUGGGGUAAUGGCUCACCAAGGGCGACGAUCCGUAACUGGUCUGAGAGGAUGAUCAGUCACACUGGAAUUGAGACACGGUCCAGACUCCUACGGGAGGCAGCAGUGGGGAAUAUUGGACAAUGGGCGAAAGCCUGAUCCACUUGUGUAGUU